Molecule: non-coding RNA, 82 nt
Organism: Podarcis lilfordi (Lilford's wall lizard)
Lineage: Eukaryota; Metazoa; Chordata; Lepidosauria; Squamata; Lacertidae
Source: the annotation of a GenBank genome assembly
CCUGGGAUAGCUCAGUUGGUAGAGCAUGAGACUUUUAAUCUCAGGGUUGUGGGUUUGGGCAAAAGAUUCUUGCAUUGCAGGG